UACAGAGGUCUCAACCGUUGUUCGGAUUCAUUGGGCGUAAAGGGUGCGUAGGCGGUCGUGCAAGUCGGAUGUGAAAUCUCAGGGCUCAACCCUGAAACUGCAUUCGAUACUGCGCGGCUAGAGUGCUGGAGGGGAGACUGGAAUUCCUGGUGUAGCGGUGAAAUGCGCAGAUAUCAGGAAGAACACCCGUGGCGAAGGCGGCUCUCUGGGACGGUACUGACGCUGAGACGCGAAAGCGUGGGGAGCGAACAGG
RNAcentral lists this ribosomal RNA (253 nucleotides) under uncultured bacterium. Its description in RNAcentral is "partial 16S ribosomal RNA". It matches the Rfam family "Bacterial small subunit ribosomal RNA", at positions 524 to 776 of the family's 1533-position model. The record is from RNAcentral.